Non-coding RNA from Ictidomys tridecemlineatus (thirteen-lined ground squirrel), 72 nucleotides. The record is from Rfam. NCBI's taxonomy places the organism in Eukaryota, Metazoa, Chordata, Mammalia, Rodentia, Sciuridae.
GGGGAUGUGGCUCAGUGGUAGAGUGCUCAUCUUGUAUGUGCAGGGCCCUGGGUUUGAUCCUCAGCACCACCU